GACGAGGGGUCCAAGCGUUGUUCGGAAUCACUGGGCAUAAAGCGCACGUAGGCGGUGUCGUAAGUCGGGUGUGAAAUCCCUCGGCCUAACCGAGGAACUGCGCCCGAUACUGCGAUGCUUGAGGACCAGAGGGGUGCAUGGAAUUUCCGGUGGAGCGGUGAAAUGCGUUGAUAUCGGAAGGAACUCCGGCGGCGAAAGCGAUGCACUGGCUGGUUUCUGACGCUGAGGUGCGAAAGCCAGGGGAGCAAACGGG
This 253-nucleotide ribosomal RNA is filed under the name uncultured bacterium. Its description in RNAcentral is "partial 16S ribosomal RNA". It matches the Rfam family "Bacterial small subunit ribosomal RNA", at positions 524 to 776 of the family's 1533-position model. The record is from RNAcentral.